ACAAUAGGCUGUCUGUGCUGUUGUGCAGCAAGUUUCUGUGUAUUUGCACCGCUUCAACCAGAAAGUGAACAAAUAAAUGCUGCCCACACCCCCUGCCUGGCUGCAGAAACCCAGAGAAACCAGAUAAAGUGGAGAGAAACCAGUGGAAACCUUGGUUUUCUUAUGUGACCCCUGCAGAGCUCUUCUUAGUUUGGUUCUGAGUUCGGCACAAGGUGAAGAUCACCAGCCCCACUCCAUCCAUUGCCAUGAAGACAACAGCUAAGCACCUGGAGCCUAAGAUGGUGCAACUUUACUCCCCAUCACUUCUUGCACUUGAGUCUGGGGAAUGAGUAAGACAAGAUAAACCUUGUUAGGCUGUACAUGUCCUAAUAAAGAUUUUUUUUACUUUUA
Xenopus laevis (African clawed frog) is the source of this 390-nucleotide long non-coding RNA. RefSeq lists it as uncharacterized. The record is from RefSeq and is a predicted model, not a curated record. Lineage: Eukaryota; Metazoa; Chordata; Amphibia; Anura; Pipidae. The transcript has 2 exons.